Molecule: ribosomal RNA, 515 nt
Filed under: uncultured bacterium
Lineage: Bacteria
Description: partial 16S ribosomal RNA
Rfam family: Bacterial small subunit ribosomal RNA
Source: RNAcentral
GAUGAACGCUGGCGGCGCGCCUAAUACAUGCAAGUCGAGCGAAUGGAUUAAGAGCUUGCUCUUAUGAAGUUAGCGGCGGACGGGUGAGUAACACGUGGGUAACCUGCCCAUAAGACUGGGAUAACUCCGGGAAACCGGGGCUAAUACCGGAUAACAUUUUGAACCGCAUGGUUCGAAAUUGAAAGGCGGCUUCGGCUGUCACUUAUGGAUGGACCCGCGUCGCAUUAGCUAGUUGGUGAGGUAACGGCUCACCAAGGCAACGAUGCGUAGCCGACCUGGAAGGGUGAUCGGCCAAACUGGGACUGAGCAACGGCCCAGACGCCUACGGGAGGCAGCAGUAGGGAAUCUUCCGCAAUGGACGAAAGUCUGACGGAUCAACGCCGCGUGAGUGAUGAAGGCUUUCGGGUCGUAAAACUCUGUUGUUAGGGAAGAACAAGUGCUAGUUGAAUAAGCUGGCACCUUGACGGUACCUAACCAGAAAGCCACGGCUAACUACGUGCCAGCCGCCGCCGUAA